GAUGAACGCUGGCGGCGUGCCUAAUACAUGCAAGUCGAGCGAACGGACGAGAAGCUUGCUUCUCUGAUGUUAGCGGCGGACGGGUGAGUAACACGUGGAUAACCUCCCUAUAAGACUGGGAUAACUUCGGGAAACCGGAGCUAAUACCGGAUAAUAUUUUGAACCGCAUGGUUCAAAAGUGAAAGACGGUCUUGCUGUCACUUAUCGAUGGAUCCGCGCUGCAUUAGCUAGUUGGUAAGGUAACGGCUUACCAAGGCAACGAUGCAUAGCCGACCUGAGAGGGUGAUCGGCCACACUGGAGCUGGGACACGGUCCAGACUCCUACGGUAGGCAGCAGUAGGGAAUCUUCCGCAAUGGGCGAAAGCCUGACGGAGCAACGCCGCGUGAGUGAUGAAGGUCUUCGGAUCGUAAAACUCUGUUAUGGGUGAAGAACAUAUGUGGAAGUAACUGUGCACAUCUUGACGGUACCUAAUAAGAAAGCCACGGCUAACUACGUG
RNAcentral lists this ribosomal RNA (497 nucleotides) under uncultured bacterium. RNAcentral describes it as "partial 16S ribosomal RNA". It matches the Rfam family "Bacterial small subunit ribosomal RNA", at positions 28 to 507 of the family's 1533-position model. The record is from RNAcentral.